GCAAAGGGUGGUGGGCGUCGGCGUGUGGUGGCGGCGUGGGUGGGGGAGGGAAAAUUAGGGUUUGAGAGUGGGGGAGGUUGGGAAAAUUGAUGAUGUGGAUUUUUUUAUUUUUAUUUUUAUUUUUUUGAAUUCUUCAUGUCAUAAAUGUGUCAUCGUGUCAAUUCUGGCUGCCACUGUUUCAAUUACGGCUACCAUUGUAUCAUUUCCGGCACCGGCGUAAGAAAAAAUUGGUCACUGGACUAAUUUGAGACUAAAAAUGAAACAUUAUGGAUUUAGAAGUCAAUUUUUCAAAUCUG
This 296-nucleotide long non-coding RNA is filed under the name Salvia miltiorrhiza (redroot sage). RNAcentral's name for it is "long non-coding RNA (SMIL_LNC013898)". Lineage: Eukaryota; Viridiplantae; Streptophyta; Magnoliopsida; Lamiales; Lamiaceae. The record is from RNAcentral.